This 467-nucleotide ribosomal RNA is filed under the name uncultured bacterium. RNAcentral's name for it is "partial 16S ribosomal RNA". It matches the Rfam family "Bacterial small subunit ribosomal RNA", at positions 28 to 506 of the family's 1533-position model. The record is from RNAcentral.
GACGAACGCUGGCGGCGUGCUUAACACAUGCAAGUCGAACGGAAAGGCCCUGCUUUUGUGGGGUGCUCGAGUGGCGAACGGGUGAGUAACACGUGAGUAACCUGCCCUUGACUUUGGGAUAACUUCAGGAAACUGGGGCUAAUACCGGAUAGGAGCUCCUGCUGCAUGGUGGGGGUUGGAAAGUUUCGGCGGUUGGGGAUGGACUCGCGGCUUAUCAGCUUGUUGGUGGGGUAGUGGCUUACCAAGGCUUUGACGGGUAGCCGGCCUGAGAGGGUGACCGGCCACAUUGGGACUGAGAUACGGCCCAGACUCCUGCGGGAGGCAGCAGUGGGGAAUAUUGCACAAUGGGCGGAAGCCUGAUGCAGCAACGCCGCGUGCGGGAUGACGGCCUUCGGGUUGUAAACCGCUUUCGCCUGUGACGAAGCGUGAGUGACGGUAAUGGGUAAAGAAGCACCGGCUAACUACGU